Arachis ipaensis is the source of this 254-nucleotide non-coding RNA. Lineage: Eukaryota; Viridiplantae; Streptophyta; Magnoliopsida; Fabales; Fabaceae. The record is from RefSeq and is a predicted model, not a curated record.
AUACUCUGCUUCAAACUCUGCAACUUCUGAUUUCUAUUACAAUAAAUAUUUCUUUUAACUUUUUGUGUACUGAUGAGGAAUUGUACUUGCUUGGUAUCAUGCUUUCAUCUGGCAAUUUUGCAUUUAAUAUAAAAAAAAGGAAAAUCCUAAGAGAGUAAUUCACCACUCUACUGGAAAAACUUCAUACUACCUUAUACCCUCAACUUAAUACUUGCAUAUUUAUAAUUUAUUUAUUAUUCUAUUCUAAAACGGUU